Molecule: ribosomal RNA, 538 nt
Filed under: uncultured Oxalobacteraceae bacterium
Lineage: Bacteria; Pseudomonadati; Pseudomonadota; Betaproteobacteria; Burkholderiales; Oxalobacteraceae
Description: bacterial SSU rRNA
Rfam family: Bacterial small subunit ribosomal RNA
Source: RNAcentral
CCUGGCGGCGAGUGGCGAACGGGUGAGUAAUAUAUCGGAACGUACCCAAGAGUGGGGGAUAACGUAGCGAAAGUUACGCUAAUACCGCAUACGAUCUAAGGAUGAAAGCAGGGGAUCUUCGGACCUUGUGCUCCUGGAGCGGCCGAUAUCUGAUUAGCUAGUUGGUGAGGUAAAGGCUCACCAAGGCUACGAUCAGUAGCUGGUCUGAGAGGACGACCAGCCACACUGGAACUGAGACACGGUCCAGACUCCUACGGGAGGCAGCAGUGGGGAAUUUUGGACAAUGGGGGCAACCCUGAUCCAGCAAUGCCGCGUGAGUGAAGAAGGCCUUCGGGUUGUAAAGCUCUUUUGUCAGGGAAGAAACAGCAGCUCUAACACAGUCUGCGAAUGACGGUACCUGAAGAAUAAGCACCGGCUAACUACGUGCCAGCAGCCGCGGUAAUACGAAGGGUGCAAGCGUUACUCGGAAUUACUGGGCGUAAAGCGUGCGUAGGUGGUUGUUUAAGUCUGCUGUGAAAGCCCUGGGCUCAACCUGGGA